UAGGGAAUCUUCGGCAAUGGACGAAAGUCUGACCGAGCAACGCCGCGUGAGUGAAGAAGGUUUUCGGAUCGUAAAACUCUGUUGUUAGAGAAGAACAAGGACGUUAGUAACUGAACGUCCCCUGACGGUAUCUAACCAGAAAGCCACGGCUAACUACGUGCCAGCAGCCGCGGUAAUACGUAGGUGGCAAGCGUUGUCCGGAUUUAUUGGGCGUAAAGCGAGCGCAGGCGGUUUCUUAAGUCUGAUGUGAAAGCCCCGGCUCAACCGGGGAGGGUCAUUGGAAACUGGGAGACUUGAGUGCAGAAGAGGAGAGUGGAAUUCCAUGUGUAGCGGUGAAAUGCGUAGAUAUAUGGAGGAACACCAGUGGCGAAGGCGGCUCUCUGGUCUGUAACUGACGCUGAGGCUCGAAAGCGUGGGGAGCAAACAGG
Molecule: ribosomal RNA, 428 nt
Filed under: Acidobacteriota bacterium
Lineage: Bacteria; Pseudomonadati; Acidobacteriota
Also listed under: 2 other names
Description: Acidobacteria bacterium partial 16S ribosomal RNA
Rfam family: Bacterial small subunit ribosomal RNA
Source: RNAcentral